RNAcentral lists this ribosomal RNA (807 nucleotides) under uncultured bacterium. RNAcentral describes it as "bacterial SSU rRNA". It matches the Rfam family "Bacterial small subunit ribosomal RNA", at positions 8 to 796 of the family's 1533-position model. The record is from RNAcentral.
AGAGUUUGAUCAUGGCUCAGAACGAACGCUGGCGGCGUGCCUAACACAUGCAAGUCGAGCGCGAAUGGAGCAAUCCUAGUAGAGCGGCGCACGGGUGCGUAACACGUGGAUAAUCUGCCUGAGUGCCCGGGGAUAACCAGUCGAAAGAUUGGCUAAUACCGGAUAAGCCCACGGUCUCUUCGGAGAUUGAGGGAAAAGGUGGCCUCUGUAUACAAGCUAUCACAUUCAGAUGAGUCCGCGGCCCAUCAGCUAGUUGGCGGGGUAAUGGCCCACCAAGGCAACGACGGGUAGCUGGUCUGAGAGGACGAUCAGCCACACUGGAACUGAGACACGGUCCAGACUCCUACGGGAGGCAGCAGUGGGGAAUUUUGCGCAAUGGGCGAAAGCCUGACGCAGCAACGCCGCGUGUGUGAUGAAGGUCUUCGGAUUGUAAAGCACUUUCGACCGGGACGAAAACCCGAAGCCCAAUACGCUUCGGCUUGACGGUACCGGGAGAAGAAGCACCGGCUAACUCUGUGCCAGCAGCCGCGGUAAUACAGAGGGUGCAAGCGUUGUUCGGAAUUAUUGGGCGUAAAGCGCGUGUAGGCGGCGUGGCAAGUCGGGUGUGAAAGCCCUCAGCUCAACUGAGGAAGUGCGCCCGAAACUGCUGUGCUUGAGUGCCGGAGAGGGUGGCGGAAUUCCCCAAGUAGAGGUGAAAUUCGUAGAUAUGGGGAGGAACACCGGUGGCGAAGGCGGCCACCUGGACGGUAACUGACGCUGAGACGCGAAAGCGUGGGGAGCAAACAGGAUUAGAUACCCUAGUAGUCC